Suricata suricatta (meerkat) is the source of this 607-nucleotide long non-coding RNA. RefSeq lists it as uncharacterized. The transcript is spliced from 4 exons. The record is from RefSeq and is a predicted model, not a curated record. Lineage: Eukaryota; Metazoa; Chordata; Mammalia; Carnivora; Herpestidae.
ACAGUGUUGCCACAGGGACACCGGCUGAUUGUUCUCCAGCGCUUACUCUUUCAGAUCCACUUUGUUUCCUAGCCAGUGGAUGGUGGGCAGAAAUGAGCAGCUGGUCUUCAUGGAUGCCUCCAGGUGGACAAGACCUUGCCAGGCAGAUGAGCAGAAGGCGGGCACUACAGCCUGAGUGGACAGCGUGAGUCCCGGUGUGGAGCAGUGAGAAGCCCCCACGAGUGUGCUCUGGGAACUAAAAUUGGCCAGGGUUAUAAGGGAGAUGCAAACCAAGAGUCAACUGAGAACUUAAGAAGUUGUGUAAGGAGCUGUGUGGAAUCAGAAUGACUGCAUUGUCCAGCGACCAACCCAGCUGACUCCCUGACUGAAUUUACUGUUAACCAGUACCCCCAGAGCUAACUAUAUAGCUUACACAUCCCAAUUAGACAGCGUGAAGUCUGCCAAAUUGAAUUUCAGUUCUCUGUCACAAUUUUUCACUCAUCAAAUGGAGAGAAACCUCACAAGGAUAUAAAGUACUUUGAAAUGCAAUGCUGCUUUCUUAGAACCAGGGGUGAGUAGUUUCAUCAUGCCGCACAUUGGACACGUAAUAAAUGUUUGUUGUUGAAAC